CCGGAUCAUAUCCAGCUUACCGUGAGAUGGUUUUGAACCAAUAUUCUAAUCUCCACAAAGCCGAUUUCAUUUUUGCCAAUUCCUUCUACAAGUUAGAGCAACAGGUACGUACGCGUGCAGGUGUCCUCCUACAUCCCUUCAUUAUUCAUUAUAUAAUUAUAUUAGCUAAGCUAACGUAUUAUGUAACUUACAGGUUGUGGACUCGAUGUCAAAAGUUUGUCGUAUGUUAACAAUAGGGCCAACCAUUCCAUAUACUUACUUAGACAAUCGCAUCGAAGACGACAAGGAAUAUGGGGUUCAGCUGUAUAAGAUAGACUCUGUUUGCAGCGACUGGCUCAACAGCAAGCCACCAGGAUCCGUGAUAUACGUGGCCUUUGGAAGUAUGGCCAAUCUAAGCCACAAGCAAAUG
Molecule: long non-coding RNA, 409 nt
Filed under: Prunus persica (peach)
Lineage: Eukaryota; Viridiplantae; Streptophyta; Magnoliopsida; Rosales; Rosaceae
Description: long non-coding RNA (PPER_LNC007534)
Source: RNAcentral